Molecule: long non-coding RNA, 612 nt
Filed under: Panax ginseng (ginseng)
Lineage: Eukaryota; Viridiplantae; Streptophyta; Magnoliopsida; Apiales; Araliaceae
Description: long non-coding RNA (PGIN_LNC002499)
Source: RNAcentral
UUUGACACAUAAUACGUUCAUUUUUAGGUAAAGAAAUACUUGAGGGUUUAAGAAAUGGGUUUUGUACUGGGGUCAAUACAAAAUUCGAUUUCACGCUCUAGGGGUAGGCUAAGAAAUUUUCAGGAAUACUUCAAGAAAUUUAUUAACAAUAGAAAUAUCAUUCAAAACUGUGACUCUCAUCCAAAACUUGGAUAGUACGUCACAUUGAUACCUAUCAACUUGCCAUCUUCAUUCAUGAUGUUGCCUACAGAAAGUCUGGCUUCGGUGCAUUCCACACAAGGAAGUUAACAAUGAAAGGAUCUGGGCUCUUUACAUUGAUAUGACAAUGAUUGACUUUAGUGGUUUGGUUUGUGACGCCCCCAAAAUAUGUAUACAUCACCUAUUCUGAGUCGCCAAAUACAUGGUACAUAAAUUAAAUACAAACUUAAUUAUACAACUGUCGUGUAACAUAUGACAAGACAUAGUUUAGAAUUUUAAAACGAAUAUUGUCUUCUAGACAGUAUUCAAACACAAUGGAGUCCUCAUUACAAUUAUUAUCACACUAUUUCACAGAAUAGUGAGGACUACUAAUGCUAUCAUCUGGACCAUCACUCUGUUCCCUGACUAGUCCCU